AACGAACGCUGGCGGCAGGCCUAACACAUGCAAGUCGAACGGUCUCUUCGGAGGCAGUGGCAGACGGGUGAGUAACGCGUGGGAAUCUACCUAGUUCUACGGAACAACAGAGGGAAACUUCUGCUAAUACCGUAUACGCCCUACGGGGGAAAGAUUUAUCGGAAUUAGAUGAGCCCGCGUAAGAUUAGCUAGUUGGUGGG
Molecule: ribosomal RNA, 200 nt
Filed under: uncultured bacterium
Lineage: Bacteria
Description: partial 16S ribosomal RNA
Rfam family: Bacterial small subunit ribosomal RNA
Source: RNAcentral